GCUCUCAUAGCUCAAUGGAUAGAGCACGGGCCUUCUAAGCCUGGGAUCUAGGUUCGACUCCUAGUGGGAGCA
Molecule: transfer RNA, 72 nt
Filed under: Candidatus Yanofskyibacteriota bacterium
Lineage: Bacteria; Candidatus Yanofskyibacteriota
Description: tRNA-Arg
Rfam family: tRNA
About the family: Transfer RNA (tRNA) molecules are approximately 80 nucleotides in length. Their secondary structure includes four short double-helical elements and three loops (D, anti-codon, and T loops).
Source: RNAcentral